UAGGGAAUCUUCUGCAAUGGACGAAAGUCUGACCGAGCAACGCCGCGUGAGUGAAGAAGGUUUUCGGAUCGUAAAACUCUGUUGUUAGAGAAGAACAAGGACGUUAGUAACUGAACGUCCCCUGACGGUAUCUAACCAGAAAGCCACGGCUAACUACGUGCCAGCAGCCGCGGUAAUACGUAGGUGGCAAGCGUUGUCCGGAUUUAUUGGGCGUAAAGCGAGCGCAGGCGGUUUCUUAAGUCUGAUGUGAAAGCCCCCGGCUCAACCGGGGAGGGUCAUUGGAAACUGGGAGACUUGAGUGCAGAAGAGGAGAGUGGAAUUCCAUGUGUAGCGGUGAAAUGCGUAGAUAUAUAGAGGAACACCAGUGGCGAAGGCGGCUCUCUGGUCUGUAACUGACGCUGAGGCUCGAAAGCGUGGGGAGCAAACAGG
RNAcentral lists this ribosomal RNA (429 nucleotides) under Chloroflexota bacterium. RNAcentral's name for it is "Chloroflexi bacterium partial 16S ribosomal RNA". It matches the Rfam family "Bacterial small subunit ribosomal RNA", at positions 355 to 776 of the family's 1533-position model. The record is from RNAcentral. Lineage: Bacteria; Bacillati; Chloroflexota.